UGGGGCGUCGCCAAGCGGUAAGGCAGCAGGUUUUGAUCCUGCCAUACGGUGGUUCGAAUCCAUCCGCCCCAGCCA
Molecule: transfer RNA, 75 nt
Filed under: Nevskia sp.
Lineage: Bacteria; Pseudomonadati; Pseudomonadota; Gammaproteobacteria; Nevskiales; Nevskiaceae
Description: tRNA-Gln
Rfam family: tRNA
About the family: Transfer RNA (tRNA) molecules are approximately 80 nucleotides in length. Their secondary structure includes four short double-helical elements and three loops (D, anti-codon, and T loops).
Source: RNAcentral